UACGUAGGGAGCAAGCGUUGUCCGGAAUCAUUGGGCGUAAAGCGCGCGUAGGCGGCCCGAUAAGUCCGUUGUGAAAGUCAAAGGCUCAACCUUUGAAUGCCGAUGGAUACUGUCGGGCUAGAGUCCGGAAGAGGCGAGUGGAAUUCCUGGUGUAGCGGUGGAAUGCGCAGAUAUCAGGAGGAACACCGAUAGCGAAGGCAGCUCGCUGGGACGGUACUGACGCUAAGGCGCGAAAGCGUGGGGAGCGAACAGG
This 253-nucleotide ribosomal RNA is filed under the name uncultured bacterium. RNAcentral describes it as "partial 16S ribosomal RNA". It matches the Rfam family "Bacterial small subunit ribosomal RNA", at positions 524 to 776 of the family's 1533-position model. The record is from RNAcentral.